RNAcentral lists this unclassified non-coding RNA (247 nucleotides) under Hevea brasiliensis (rubber tree). The record is from RNAcentral. Lineage: Eukaryota; Viridiplantae; Streptophyta; Magnoliopsida; Malpighiales; Euphorbiaceae.
GGAAUAAGGAGUAGUAGUAGACAAAAUAGCUAUGAUUCGUUUCUUAUCGAGAGCAGCGACUACCGUUGCUCGAACAGCCUGGUUGCAACCAAUCUCCAAUAGACGCUCCCUGUUUGCUCCGUCAUCAACAUCAACAUUGAGAUUGUUUCAUGAGAAAAUCAACGGUCCAAAUGCAAGCCCAGUUGCUCUUCAGAUGAUCGACUACGCUCUCUCUCUUGCCAAAUCUCAGAAAUCAGAUGAAUCUGUC